Molecule: ribosomal RNA, 416 nt
Filed under: uncultured bacterium
Lineage: Bacteria
Description: bacterial SSU rRNA
Rfam family: Bacterial small subunit ribosomal RNA
Source: RNAcentral
CCUACGGGAGGCAGCAGCCGCGGUAAUACGGAGGGUGCAAGCGUUGUCCGGAUUUAUUGGGUUUAAAGGGUGCGUAGGCGGCUGAAUAAGUCAGCGGUGAAAGACUUCGGCUUAACCGGAGCAGUGCCGUUGAUACUGUUUAGCUUGAGUGUUGGAGGGGUACAUGGAAUUGAUGGUGUAGCGGUGAAAUGCAUAGAUACCAUCAGGAACACCGAUAGCGAAGGCAUUGUACUGGCCAACAACUGACGCUGAGGCACGAAAGUGUGGGGAUCGAACAGGAUUAGAUACCCUGGUAGUCCACACUGUAAACGAUGAUUACUCGCUGUUAUGGUGUAUGCUGUAGCGGCCAAGCGAAAGCGUUAAGUAAUCCACCUGGGGAGUACGCCGGCAACGGUGAAACUCAAAUGAAUUGACGG